Long non-coding RNA from Oreochromis niloticus (Nile tilapia), 1524 nucleotides. RefSeq lists it as uncharacterized. NCBI's taxonomy places the organism in Eukaryota, Metazoa, Chordata, Actinopteri, Cichliformes, Cichlidae. The transcript has 3 exons. The record is from RefSeq and is a predicted model, not a curated record.
AGCAUGGUGGCAAUGUUGUGCUUAAUACUGAUUGUAAUACAUUUGGUAAAGUUGCACUUGCGAGUGAAAUCUAAGUCAUGAGAGCGAGAUAAUGGCUGCUUUUUCCAGUCCUUGUACCAGACCAUUUUCAGAGAGACAUUUCCUUUGUUUAUUAAUCCACUGACACAUUGACAGCUCUGCCAUAUGGAUCAUUCAAGUGUAAAAAAGGCACAUGACUCAAGGGAUUAAACACUGUUGUUGCAAAGUUUUGUGUAAUCCACAAAUGACAUACAACUGUGUGAAGAACCAAAUUUUAUAUUGUAUCUUUAUGGACUUUAUAACUAGCAGCCUGUGACAAACACACAUAAUUUUUUCCCAUGUCUUUACCUGAAUCCAUUCUAAAUGCCAAAGAACAGUUUGACAGGCAAGGUUUUUUUUGCACCAACAAGGUAAUUCCCAAAGGGCUUUUAACAGAAAACUUGGCAUAUUUCGGCAUGGUGUGCUGUGUUCAUAAAGAAAUUUGAAGAAACUAGAGGAAAAGUGGAGGAAAAACUAUCUUAAAAAAAACUAUCAUUAGGCUGUAGAUAGUUUAGGCUUAAAACUUUCCUUUUUGAAAAAGCAUAUACUUAGGGCUGGAAUAGGCGACCCUGAUUCCUACCUACAUUAUGCUGCAAUCGGUCUAGGCUGCUGGGCGAUUCCCAUGAUGCGCUGGGUGUUCCUUCUUCAGUCAUCUUUUUCACUCACUAUGUGUUAAUAGACCUCCCUGGAUUUAAUCAUUAGUUAUAAUUAUUUUCUGGCUUUCUUCCACAGCGUGCCUUUCUGUGUUGAAGUAUAAAUGUCAUCGUACUAAAUAUUGACUUUCAACUAUGUUAGAGUACACAGAUUUUGUUUUUACAUUUCCAUGUAUGUUUGUACGUUUCAAUACAUUGCUGCACUCAUUUCCCAUUUUACUAGCAUAAUAUAAAGAAAUAAGGGGUGAUUUAAGACUCUUGCACAUUACUGUUAUUAUUGCUAUAUAUGCACACAACAGUACACCUCCAUAUAGAUUAUACUAUAUUUAAAAUUUCAUGAUAAGUAUGAUUUAUAGAAGUUAUAGAACAGGAAAGAUCUAUUUCAGUUGUAACCUGCUUCAUCUGCCCAUGUUGUCUUUGUUUGCUUAUUUUUUUACUGAGCAGAACAGUCCUCUACAGUGACUACCAUUAUCAUUGUUGUUGCAGUUAUUGUUCUUCUUGUUCUCAUCAUCAUUGGUGCCAUUGGAUUUACUGUUUACAAAAAGAAGAAAGAACAACCUCCUACAUCUCCACCCGAAACCGACUGUGAACUCUCAGAGAGACUAAAUUCAGAGACCAUACAGGACCCUGCACACUGUGCCACUUCCAGCUAAGCAAGAGCAGAGGCAUUGAUUUUCACACUUAAUUUAAACUGUAAAAAAAGAAAAGAAAGAAAGAAAGAAAUGUAAAAAUCCCAUUACUACUGUAGGGAAAAUGUUGAAAGGAGAACUGGUAAAAUCACACUAGCUCUUUGAAAUAUGUUCCAUUACAAUAA